GAUGAACGCUGGCGGCGUGCCUAAUACAUGCAAGUCGAGCGAACAGACGAGGAUCUUUCUCCUCUGACGUUAUCGGCGGACGGGUGAGUAACACGUGGAUAACCUACCUAUAAUACUUGGAUAACUUCGGGAAACCGGAGCUAAUACCGGAUAAUAUAUUGAACCGCAUUGUUCAAUAGUGAAAGACGUUUUUUCUGUCUCUUAUAGAUUUAUCCUCGCCGCAUUAGCUAGUUGGGAAGGUAACGGCUUACCAAGGCGACGAUGCGUAGCCGACCUGAGAGGGAGAUCGGAAAAAAGGGAAGAGAGAAAGGGACAAGAGGACGACGGGAGGCAGCAGUAGGGAAAAGUAGGAAAAGGGGGAAAGAAUGAAGGAGCAAGGACGCGUGAGAGAAGAAGGUCUGAGGAUCGUAAAAAUAUGUUAUUAGGGAAGAAAAAAAGUGUAAGAAAAUAUGAACGUAUUGACGGUAACGAAUCAGAAAGCAACGGCUAACUACGUG
This 497-nucleotide ribosomal RNA is filed under the name uncultured bacterium. RNAcentral's name for it is "partial 16S ribosomal RNA". It matches the Rfam family "Bacterial small subunit ribosomal RNA", at positions 28 to 507 of the family's 1533-position model. The record is from RNAcentral.